Long non-coding RNA from Peromyscus maniculatus bairdii (prairie deer mouse), 1739 nucleotides. RefSeq lists it as uncharacterized. The record is from RefSeq and is a predicted model, not a curated record. NCBI's taxonomy places the organism in Eukaryota, Metazoa, Chordata, Mammalia, Rodentia, Cricetidae.
UCCAGAAUGCAGCAUGUCCAGGAACCAUGGAACUGAGAAGAGCCCUGAGCUACUCCCGGGCCACACCCCACACACAGUGGAGGUCUCUCUCUGGGGUCUGUUUGGCUGGGCCAUCAUCUGCAACAUCUCAGGGUUGCUGUGAAGGUAUUUUGUAGAUAUGGUUAACGCCCACAAUUCGUUGACUUGUAAAGAAGAUUAUUCUUGGCUGCGUGGGUGGUCCCUCAUCAAGUCUGUUGGAAAAAGUUUUCGGAGAAAAACUGAGAUUUCCUAGGGAAGAAAAAAUUCUGCAUCAAGACUGAAACAUAACUCUUCAUUUUACUCAGCUCCAAUCUGAAAACAUCUUGCAAUGUACCUCCCUGUCUGAAAGAGUCAAGCGAUCGCUCCAGACAAGCAUCACUCUUCACUCUGGACCAUGGGAAUGAACACAUCUUCGUUUCUCACCCACUGUUUACAUGUGCACAGAGAUAAUUUAGCAAGAAACAAAAAAAAAAAACUGUCUGAGUUGUGCUUUUCAAAUGUAAAGCAUUGGAAAAGUUUUAUUUUGCUGUACUUUACUUCCAUUUAAGGCAUUGUUCAUAGUCAUUCGGUUGUUCAUUUGAGCCAAAAUUGCUCUUGGUACCCAUAAUACAGCUGUAAGAUGUGAGCCCAAGAUCACUUCACGGCUUCCCAUUCAUGGCUUUGAGCUUCAAGCCCUGGGCUGUAGAGUGUCCUCAUAGCUCAUGUAAAAGUGUAACCUGGAAAUAUUGGAGAGCUAAUACCUAAGGAGUAGUUCCCAACCCACAGGAGAGAAACUGAUGGACAGAUGGCUGUGCUACUGUGAUAGAACGCCUGAGGCUGGAUGCCUCACAAGGAAAGAGUUCCAUCUACUUCAAGGUUCUGGAAGUCUGAGAGCCCGGCGCUGGUGUCUGUGCAGCUCCAUGAGGACCUCAUGUCUGCAGCAUCACAUGGUGGGAGCACCUGUGAAAGAGGCGAGCGGGCGGGAGAGAUUUCACGGCAAGAAGAGAUGGAAAAGGAGCGUCACGGGACCAGGCUUACUCUUUAUCACAGCUUGCUCUACCCCUUUCCAAGAUCAGAUAAUCUCUUCAUGCCAGCAGUUGCUACCCAGUCACUCCCCAUGAACCCCACCUCUUAAAGUCCCACCACAUCUCAGUGUCAUUACAUCGGGGACCAAGUUUCAACAAGAGUUUUGAUAGAGCAGACAACAUCUGUACCUCCCACUCUCUGGCUGACCAUCUAGGAGGGCAUUCUGUGUACUUCUCGGGGGACCUGGAGAGUCAAGCCAUGUUCUUGUGGUGAUGGCAUUGGCAAUGCACCUGUUUCUCCUCGGCUGGCUGCUGGGAUUGACUUCCAAAUCAGUGGCCUGUCUCAAGAUUAUGCCACUGGAUCUAUUUUGAAGAAAACCCAAACUAAGACCAAUCAUCACUGUUGAGACCUAACUACAAUCCCCUCCAGAUGGUUAGCCAGUGUUUUCUGGAAUCUCCACAAUGAUAAGAGCUCUUUCUUGUGGCUUUAGAUACACACUCCCAUUGCAGGACAAAGCAUGACAACCAAUAGAGAGUUAGUGAGAUAUCCAGAACCUUCCAUGGGCCAAGCACUUUACUAGGUUUUCAUUCUGAUUAAGAAUGUUUCUGUUUUAAAAACUUAAAAAUAGGCAAAUUAUCUUUAUUAAUGCUUUAUUGAAAUAUUUCCAUACCAUACAACUUGCCCCUGUAAAUAAACACAAUGUGUUUUUUUUUUAA